This 72-nucleotide transfer RNA is filed under the name Trialeurodes vaporariorum (greenhouse whitefly). RNAcentral's name for it is "tRNA-Gly for anticodon ACC". The record is from RNAcentral. Lineage: Eukaryota; Metazoa; Arthropoda; Insecta; Hemiptera; Aleyrodidae.
GGCAGUGUAGCCUAGUGGUAAAGUGCUGGACCACCAAUCGGGAGGUCGGGGGUUCGAACCCCACAACCGGCA